AGGCUGUGAUGACUGAAAAUUAUACCAUCAAACCCUGAGGGCAUUUGGCCUCGUUGAUGUAAACAUACACUGUUAAAGGUCUGAGCCU
This is a small nucleolar RNA of Hibiscus syriacus, 88 nucleotides long. RefSeq annotates it as small nucleolar RNA snoR116. The transcript has a single exon. The record is from RefSeq and is a predicted model, not a curated record. Lineage: Eukaryota; Viridiplantae; Streptophyta; Magnoliopsida; Malvales; Malvaceae.